RNAcentral lists this ribosomal RNA (462 nucleotides) under uncultured bacterium. RNAcentral describes it as "partial 16S ribosomal RNA". It matches the Rfam family "Bacterial small subunit ribosomal RNA", at positions 28 to 507 of the family's 1533-position model. The record is from RNAcentral.
GACGAACGCUGGCGGCGUGCUUAACACAUGCAAGUCGAACGGAAAGGCCCUUCGGGGUACUCGAGUGGCGAACGGGUGAGUAACACGUGGGUGAUCUGCCCUGCACUUUGGGAUAAGCCUGGGAAGCUGGGUCUAAUACCGGAUAGGACCACGGCAUUCAUGUGCUGUGGUGGAAAGCUUUUGCGGUGUGGGAUGGGCCCGCGGCCUAUCAGCUUGUUGGUGGGGUAAUGGCCUACCAAGGCGACGACGGGUAGCCGGCCUGAGAGGGUGACCGGCCACACUGGGACUGAGAUACGGCCCAGACUCCUACGGGAGGCAGCAGUGGGGAAUAUUGCACAAUGGGCGCAAGCCUGAUGCAGCGACGCCGCGUGAGGGAUGACGGCCUUCGGGUUGUAAACCUCUUUCGCCAGGGACGAAGCGCAAGUGACGGUACCUGGAGAAGAAGGACCGGCCAACUACGUG